RNAcentral lists this ribosomal RNA (497 nucleotides) under uncultured bacterium. RNAcentral's name for it is "partial 16S ribosomal RNA". It matches the Rfam family "Bacterial small subunit ribosomal RNA", at positions 28 to 507 of the family's 1533-position model. The record is from RNAcentral.
GAUGAACGCUGGCGGCGUGCUUAAUACAUGCAAGUCGAGCGAACAGAUGAGGAGCUUGCUCCUCGGACGUUAGCGGCGGACGGGUGAGUAACACGUGGAUAAUCUACCUAUCAGACUGGGAUAACUUCGGGAAACCGGAGCUAAUCCCGGAUAAUAUAUUGAACCGCAUGGUUCAAUAGUGAAAGUCGGUUUUGCUGUCACUUAUAGCUGGAUCCGCGCCGCAUUAGCUAGUUGGUAAGGUAACGGCUUAUCAAGGCAACUAUGCGUAGCCGACCUGAGGGGGGGGUCGGCCACACUGGAGCGGGGACACGCUCCAGGGGCCUACGAUAGGCAGCAGUAGGGAAUCGGCCGCAAUGGGCGAAAGCCUGACAGAACAAGGCCGAGUGAGUGGUAGCAAUCUUGGGAGCGUAAAGCUCUGUUAUUAGGGAAGAACAAAUGUGUAAGGAGCUAAGCACGUCGUGACGGUACCUGAUCAGAAAGCCACGGCUAACUACGUG